CCAUGAGUUUCAUGCAACAAAUGGGAAGCAGCAGGGCCCGUCUGGCUAGUGCUCCAGUGAUGAAUUUUGUUGAACUAGGUAAAGCUUUAGAUGUCAGACAUGCUCUGAACUUUACUGCACAAGCAUUCGACAGCAUGGUUCUAUUAGUGACAGAGGGAUUUGGAGGUACAGGUACUGAAGGGUAAUGGAUUUGAAGGUUGCUAUAUCUUGAGUUGUCCCAUUGUCUUACUAAAUUCAGGAUUCAACCCAGGAGAGUGUACAGAAUAUGCAGGUUUGUAUUGUUUCCGGUGUAUGUUGGUGAUGCAUCGGAUGUCACUCAGUUUCUAGGAAAUUCAAGAUGGCAUCAAAGAAACAGACAAACAAGGAGAGAAAACUUAAACAAGAGAGAUGUAUGAGGAUGUCAGCAUCUCAUCAAACAUGUAUUGUGAGGACACCCUUCGUCCGACCUAAUCUUGACGAUCAUCCGUAGGUACACACAUACAUGUUCUUCCCUGCCGCCUCCUGGUUUAGUUCACAUGUCUUGAAUUACUUUGAUCCUUUUGGUAACAUCAAAUUGGGUUGCAUAGAAGUAACUGCUAACUGUGUUGACCUUUGUGAGAAAUCUACAGCAGCACUUCAAAACUCCCAGGCUGUUUUCAUCAGCAAGCUCACAGCUGACCACAUGAUGGAACUCGAUAAUACGACACUGUCCGAUGUACUUGAGAUUCCAAUGAAUACAUGUCGAAGCGAUGUGGUCAUCAGCAUGUAUGCUCUCAAUCUCCUGGUAGGGUAUUUUCUCUUAAACGAUGCUAUUGUCACAUGAUGCAUAUCAUGGUUUUGUUGCGUGGUCAUUUGACCUGCACAACACUUGUUGUUUCAAGGAUGCAGAAUGAUUCUUCAAUUUGGGGUGCCAACUAUGCUAGCUUUAUACUGCUGAAUGUAGGAGCUUAUUUUUUUUCUUUUUAGUUAUUCAAUGUUAUUGGGCGGGGCAUCUCAAUGAACUAUUCUUUCUGAUUCCUGGAGUUACAUGUGUGAUUGCUUAGACUCUUCUAAUAGUGUCAUAGUCUGGUUGGUUGCUUGGCUGAAAUAGUUUCUUACGGGCCUCGUUCUGGACCCGUUCCCACGUAUAUAGAAUAUAUUUUCUACUGGUUUCAUCAAACAAAAAAGUCAUAAACAUUAAAUAUUUAAAGUUUUUGUCUCGUUCAUACUUUCUAGAAUCUGAAACUGUACUGAAAUCAUCAUAGAAAUUCCGCAAGAAUAUUAAAGGCACCUGUGUCAUUCAUCCCUACUAGAUGAUGAAUGCUAUUGCUAAAAAAAAUUCUCAAAGAUGCCUCAUUUUCAUGAAGAAGAAAGCUCAAUAGACCAAAAUUCCAUAUCAUUUCUUCUUUCUUAAGGAAAACUGACUGCAGGCAGCAAUCACAGAUGUUCAGCCUAUUUUCAGUUGACAAUAUACUGAAUAAUUUGGCAGUGAACAAGUACAGAAAACGCUGUUAAGAAGCGAUAGUUUUGUACCUGAGUUUAUAAAAGAAAAUGUACCAAUUCGUGUUGAAAAUAUCUUAGGCAUCAAGUCCACCACGUUUGAGAUGUUCACAGAAACAUGUCAGUUUCAGGCUACAAUUCAGAAUUGUUUGCCACACUGUAACGUUUCAGGAAAUCAGAAACAUUUCCCAUGAUGUUAAUAUGUUGACUAGGGGCCUUUUGUAGCUACUUUAAUGAAAAUUGUAGUGCCACAGUGUCCUGCUGCAUAUAUUAAAUUGCAAAGGGAAAGUAAAAAAACUUAGGAUUUGGUUGUCUAUCUGAUCCAUCAGUAUGCAAGCAGGGGCCAUGUUGUCAAGGAACAGAGUUCAAAAACCAUCAAUCUCAGGAACACUCUGACCAUGUAUUUGAUUCUGUUGAAGACCCAAUAUAUGAUAAGAUGCUAUUUUCAUUUGCUAAGCAACCAUGAAAACGUUUCUGUCCAAUUCAUAAUUUAAAUUAGUCCAUGUGUGUCCUUUUAUCCAGUUAUUACAAUUUUACUCCGGUGUAUUCUUUUAUUUAGUUCUGUGAGGAAGAAGGGAUUACAUCGAUGUGUAAUGAGUUCUUUGUUCUACAACCAUACCUACAUGGGAUUAUAGUUCAGUUAGAGAUAUGAGAUUAUUUUCCUCUAGAAAUGAGCAUUAGCCCUCAGAACAGAAACGGACUGCACAACUAUGCUCCUACUUAAUUACGUAUUAUCAAUAUGUUCAUUAUUACAGUAAGUUUAGAAACUGCAUUUGUGUAUUUGUACCAAGCUUCCUUGCUCAUCACAUUCCGUGCCUACCAUGUUGUAUGUCGGAAAGCAGUGGUUUUGAUAUAGAGCUAUAGUUCAUCUAUAUGUUUCUGCUGCCUAUAUAUUAUUGAUGUGUUUCCCUCACCUGCUAUUUGAAUGACAUAAUCCUUCAGAUAUUUCCCAAAUUUUGUGUUAAAGCUAUCUGAAGAAUUAGCUCCUGCAAAAUAGAUCAUCCACGUGGUUGUUGUGAAUGUUUGUGGCACAAUCCAAAAUUCAUAAUGCACCAAAGUUAUUGUGGUGAUGAUCUGAUCUAAAGCUUUUAAAUAAUGGAUUGUACAAAUCAGCAUUCGAAUUUGUACUCAAGGUCAUGAUUCAACCCGAGAGAUGCAUCGUGUAUACUUGCCUAAGAUUGACGGAUGGGAUUGACAGCUGAGAUUUUUAUGUUAUACUAGGUAAUUGCCCGUGCGUUGCAACGGGAAUACACAGUUUAAACGAUGCCAUGGCAACCAAACUGGACUAUAAUGGAAGAAACCGCUACCAUAGUAGCGUCAACGGAUCGCUGUGGCACAAAAUUAUUAGUUCUUGGCCAUAUUCAUUUAGUUCCAUAUGUUAAUCACCCCUUCUUUCAAAUAUCAUGUAUAUCUAAAUAUACAAAAAGAUUGAGAAUUAUCAUAUCAAAAUGUCCCUGCAUAUGGUUAUAACAAUAUUCAAGAAACAAUGGUAUGUAAAUAUUAUCACAACAACCAUUUUUGUCCAUAGAUAACUCAGUUUUCUAUAUCUCUAACUUUUCCAUUGAAGAUGCAACCAGUACACACAAUUUCAUUGUAUACGCUCUGAAACCGAUUCAAGAAAUGAGCAAAACUAAAUCUCAAUCAUAUGAAGUUGAAAAUUAAGUUGAGGAAUGCUUUGGUACAAUCCCUUAAAAGGAUGUACGGAUAUUGAUGCAGAUUAGUAGUAUGAAUUAGAACUAAUCUAUUGGGUCACCAGGGCAAUAUGGUCAUAUCUCAUGGCCACAAAAUACUCCCAUCUGCGCUCCCAUUGUCAUCUAUGGUCAGUAUUAUUUUAUGGCUCACCUCACGAUUCCUCCUUUCGCUACAUCUUCUUCCUCUUGUAUUACUUUCAGGCUACCACACUUCUGCUAUUUGUCAUGGCUUGACGAGGCUGAUGCCGCUAAUUUGAUGAUACAAAAUAGCAACAGAGGUACACCUUGAUCCAUCAUUCAUCCACUCCAUUUCAGGUAGCAGUCAUGUAGUCAUCAAACGCGAGCGGAUUUUUUUCACCGCGUGCAUACAUGAUACAUCAAUUCAUCUUCACACACCUCUGUUCAUGUCCUUGCCACUGCCGCUGCGUGCUCCCCGCCUAUUGACACGACCCUGAGAGACAUGAGGGUGUCGGCGAUGGCGCUGACCAUAAACUUCCGCAGGGACGGACGAACAGAGCAUCGAGGUAGAGGAGCACGCUGAGGCGAUGGGCCAGAAGUUACCUCUGCCCGACGUGAGGUUCUGUCGGCAAUCGCUCGUUCUCCCUAGAGCCGAGCACGGUGCUUCACUGCAGCAAGUUGACCAUGACGCGGAUGAUUCCUUAAGUGGAGAUGUUCUUGAGCACGCCGACCGACAUCUGCAUUGCCGCCGUCGCCAUCCCGGACGACAACUUCCCCCGGAGGUCUGACACUGGAAAGGGUUUUGCACCGCCCCCUCUUCAAUCUACAGCCCUUCUCUGUACGGUGAAUCCUACUUUGUCUUCUCUCCCGUAAUUCUUAUCGUGGAAACAUCUCCACUUUAAAAUCAGGUCGGAGAAGGCAAGCAGCGUCCUCCACCCUGAAUUCUACUUUGCUUCGCCCUUAAAUCUCUCUCUCAAUUAAUUCCUUCCAUGAAAACACCUUAAAAAACUUCCUCCCAUGAAAAGAUCUCUCUCCCUAAAUUCCUCCCACAAAAAUCUCUCUCCUCUCUCUCAUGUACACCGUAGAAUGGGCGAGAUAAAAUAACAGAAUCAAAUUUGGUAGGUGGCGAGGGGAUUGAGUCCCGGUUUUGUUGGGGGAGAUUUUUUUCUGACAGCUGACCGUGCGAGGUGAAAAAACGGAAGGAGAGGGGAUUGAGUCCCGAUUUUGUGAGGGGAGAUUUUUUUCUGACCGCUGACCGUGCGACGUGAAAAAACGGAAGGAGGAACUGCAUCGUGGAGAGAAGGACCAAAACUUGACGUAAGAGGGGAGACGGAACCUUACAGGUCCUCUGAAAACUUUUGCCAGAGCAUGCAGCCAAACCAGGGCUAUCCGGGCUUCAGCUUCCUCCACACUGUCGGAAACUGGUAACUCAGAGUAUGUCGACAGAUACACUUAGCCUCUAAUGACUAUUCCGAAGGGACGUUGCAUGUUCCUAGAUGCAUAGAUUUUCAUUACACUGAGAUUUUUUUUAGGAAUAACAAUGAGAUUUAAGAUAUUAUUUUUUUCUGUAGAAUUCUCAAAUUGAAAUCCGAAUAAACCACCUUCAAAGGCCAACAUAGUGGCACUUAAAAUAUAAAAUAAAUGCUAAUCUGCACUGACGCUGCAAUCUGGUGCCCAAUCUUCUGGUGAUUUGGUCAAAGCUACAACCAAGGAAAGAAAUUUUACAUGCUAUAAGAACUAAGUUAUGAAUUUUGUGUUCCCAGGUCUAUAAUAUGCAUCCUUUGCCGGUUCCCUGCAAGCGCUUUCGACCAUGACCUCAAGUUCUGCAGCUAGGCCGUGAAUGUUUUGAUCCUUCUCACCCUACAUCGAUGAUGGCCCGACAGAAAUCAAGGAAGGAGAGAAGGAUGUUGUUGUCAUGGUCGUCGGAACGACUUGCCGUGGACGCAGUCAUGCACUGGAUGACAUCGACGGCUAGCCAUGGACGAGCAUCUCGCCGCCUCCGCAAAAUAUGGACGCAAGGGAUUCUGCUACUAACAUUUCAGAGUGUGUUGUGUUGCGGUGCUGUGACAUAUACACCUUCAGCGUGCGUAUAAUGUUGUCAGAUACUACUUUAGAUAAAUAACCACUGUAUUCUAUUGUAUGUGUAAUUGAAAUGUUCAUAUGUGUUUAACCAUCUGGCAAAGAGGCUCACUGGAUGUUUCUUACAAUAUUCUAUCUGUAAUAGACAUCUACGCAUGUAUUUAACCAUCUGGCAAAGAGGCUCAUUGGAUGUUUCAACA
Triticum aestivum (bread wheat) is the source of this 5386-nucleotide long non-coding RNA. RefSeq lists it as uncharacterized. The record is from RefSeq and is a predicted model, not a curated record. The transcript is spliced from 2 exons. Lineage: Eukaryota; Viridiplantae; Streptophyta; Magnoliopsida; Poales; Poaceae.